CGCUGAAGAGAGGAGCUUGCUCUUCUUGGAUGAGUUGCGAACGGGUGAGUAACGCGUAGGUAACCUGCCUUGUAGCGGGGGAUAACUAUUGGAAACGAUAGCUAAUACCGCAUAACAAUGGAUGACACAUGUCAUUUAUUUGAAAGGGGCAAUUGCUCCACUACAAGAUGGACCUGCGUUGUAUUAGCUAGUAGGUGAGGUAACGGCUCACCUAGGCGACGAUACAUAGCCGACCUGAGAGGGUGAUCGGCCACACUGGGACUGAGACACGGCCCAGACUCCUACGGGAGGCAGCAGUAGGGAAUCUUCGGCAAUGGGGGCAACCCUGACCGAGCAACGCCGCGUGAGUGAAGAAGGUUUUCGGAUCGUAAAGCUCUGUUGUAAGUCAAGAACGAGUGUGAGAGUGGAAAGUUCACACUGUGACGGUAGCUUACCAGAAAGGGACGGCUAACUACGUGCCAGCAGCCGCGGUAAUACGUAGGUCCCGAGCGUUGUCCGGAUUUAUUGGGCGUAAAGCGAGCGCAGGCGGUUUGAUAAGUCUGAAGUUAAAGGCUGUGGCUCAACCAUAGUUCGCUUUGGAAACUGUCAAACUUGAGUGCAGAAGGGGAGAGUGGAAUUCCAUGUGUAGCGGUGAAAUGCGUAGAUAUAUGGAGGAACACCGGUGGCGAAAGCGGCUCUCUGGUCUGUAACUGACGCUGAGGCUCGAAAGCGUGGGGAGCGAACAGGAUUAGAUACCCUGGUAGUCCACGCCGUAAACGAUGAGUGCUAGGUGUUGGAUCCUUUCCGGGAUUCAGUGCCGCAGCUAACGCAUUAAGCACUCCGCCUGGGGAGUACGACCGCAAGGUUGAAACUCAAAGGAAUUGACGGGGGCCCGCACAAGCGGUGGAGCAUGUGGUUUAAUUCGAAGCAACGCGAAGAACCUUACCAGGUCUUGACAUCCCGAUGCUAUUUCUAGAGAUAGAAAGUUACUUCGGUACAUCGGUGACAGGUGGUGCAUGGUUGUCGUCAGCUCGUGUCGUGAGAUGUUGGGUUAAGUCCCGCAACGAGCGCAACCCCUAUUGUUAGUUGCCAUCAUUCAGUUGGGCACUCUAGCGAGACUGCCGGUAAUAAACCGGAGGAAGGUGGGGAUGACGUCAAAUCAUCAUGCCCCUUAUGACCUGGGCUACACACGUGCUACGAUGGUUGGUACAACGAGUUGCGAGUCGGUGACGGCAAGCUAAUCUCUUAAAGCCAAUCUCAGCUCGGAUUGUAGGCUGCAACUCGCCUACAUGAAGUCGGAAUCGCUAGUAAUCGCGGAUCAGCACGCCGCGGUGAAUACGUUCCCGGGCCUUGUACACACCGCCCGUCACACCACGAGAGUUUGUAACACCCGAAGUCGGUGAGGUA
Molecule: ribosomal RNA, 1386 nt
Filed under: uncultured bacterium
Lineage: Bacteria
Description: bacterial SSU rRNA
Rfam family: Bacterial small subunit ribosomal RNA
Source: RNAcentral